CAGCAGCCGCGGUAAUACGUAGGGUGCGAGCGUUAAUCGGAAUUACUGGGCGUAAAGCGUGCGCAGGCGGUUUUGUAAGACAGGCGUGAUAUCCCCGGGCUCAACCUGGGAAUGGCGCUUGUGACUGCAAAGCUAGAGUGCGGCAGGGGGGGAUGGAAUUCCGCGUGUAGCAGUGAAAUGCGUAGAUAUGCGGAGGAACACCGAUGGCGAAGGCAAUCCCCUGGGCCUGCACUGACGCUCAUGCACGAAAGCGUGGGGAGCAAACAGGAUUAGAUACCCGAGUAGUCCCUGUCUCUUAUAC
Molecule: ribosomal RNA, 301 nt
Filed under: uncultured bacterium
Lineage: Bacteria
Description: partial 16S ribosomal RNA
Rfam family: Bacterial small subunit ribosomal RNA
Source: RNAcentral